Molecule: transfer RNA, 75 nt
Filed under: Alphaproteobacteria bacterium
Lineage: Bacteria; Pseudomonadati; Pseudomonadota; Alphaproteobacteria
Also listed under: 1 other name
Description: tRNA-Ile
Source: RNAcentral
GGGCCUCUAGCUCAACAGCCAGAGCAGACCGCAGAUUACGGUCAGGUGCAGGUAAGAAUCCCGCGGGGCCCACCA